RNAcentral lists this ribosomal RNA (816 nucleotides) under Triticum aestivum (bread wheat). RNAcentral describes it as "partial small subunit ribosomal RNA". The record is from RNAcentral. Lineage: Eukaryota; Viridiplantae; Streptophyta; Magnoliopsida; Poales; Poaceae.
AUGAGGACCCGCAUGUGCGCGCGCGUCGGCACGCCGCAGGGCGUCGGGGCGCUGCUCCUCGUCGGGGGCGGCAAGGAGGACGACGUUCUGGAUGGCGGGGUCGUGGAGAAGGAGCAACAGAAGUCUGAUCAAUCUGAUGAGAAUCUGGGCAGGGAGGUUAGAGAGGUUGAAGCUGAUGGGUUGGAUGGUAAGGAAGUAGAGGAGCUUCAAGAGAUUCAGGAGCAGGUGGAUGAAAUUCUUGCUGAUGAAUUGGAUAGCAAACCUACAGAUAAUUUGGAUCCAAACGCAAGCCAGGAAAGUGCCGAGAUCAUUAAUGCAAAUGCCACCGAAGGUGUGAAGAAUUCCGAUGAAAGCUUCCUUCCCAUCAAUAGCCCGGAGAUCACCCAUGAAGAACAUAUCGGGCACGGCCAUGGCGGUGAUCAACAGACCUCAUCAACACAGAUGACAGCGCAUCAGUCACAGAUCUCAGAGCAACUGAAAGUGGAUACCAUGACCGAAACAGCAACAGUGGAGAAUGUGUCGAAGCAGAAACCGCCUGCACAAGAGCGGGUCGCGCCCAUCAACUCACCCGCAUGUCCUUCACUGCCAGCUCUGUUUAAACCAGCAGAGAAGAAGAGACCAACGAACACGGGGUGGAAUGAGACAGGGAUGAAGCUUGGACAAGAUGGCGGCAGCAAGAAGGCAGCAGCAAAGGGUGUAGCCGUGGUGACCAUGGAUCAUAGAGCUGCUUCAAUGGCCAUUCUCGCCAUCAUCUUUGCAGUGACCAUUGGAGUAAACGUCGUCGUGCGCUUGUACUCCACUUUGCGAGCGGCAUGA